This 253-nucleotide ribosomal RNA is filed under the name uncultured bacterium. RNAcentral's name for it is "partial 16S ribosomal RNA". It matches the Rfam family "Bacterial small subunit ribosomal RNA", at positions 524 to 776 of the family's 1533-position model. The record is from RNAcentral.
UACGUAGGGGGCAAGCGUUGUCCGGAUUUAUUGGGCGUAAAGAGCGUGUAGGCGGCCAGUUAGGUCCGUUGUGAAAACUCGAGGCUCAACCUCGAGACGCCGAUGGAAACCAACUGGCUAGAGGACGGUAGAGGCGAGUGGAAUUCCCGGUGUAGCGGUGAAAUGCGCAGAUAUCGGGAGGAACACCAGUAGCGAAGGCGGCUCGCUGGGCCGUUCCUGACGCUGAGACGCGAAAGCUAGGGGAGCGAACAGG